This 464-nucleotide ribosomal RNA is filed under the name uncultured bacterium. Its description in RNAcentral is "partial 16S ribosomal RNA". It matches the Rfam family "Bacterial small subunit ribosomal RNA", at positions 339 to 795 of the family's 1533-position model. The record is from RNAcentral.
CUACGGGUCGCAGCAGUGGGGAAUAUUGGACAAUGGGCGCAAGCCUGAUCCAGCAAUACCGCGUGUGUGAAGAAGGCCUGCGGGUUGUAAAGCACUUUCAAUAGUGAAGAAAAGCGAGAGGUUAAUAGCCUUUUGUCUUGACGUUAACUUUAGAAGAAGCACCGGCUAACUCUGUGCCAGCAGCCGCGGUAAUACGGAGGGUGCGAGCGUUAAUCGGAAUUACUGGGCGUAAAGCGUGCGUAGGCGGUUUAGUAAGUCAGAUGUGAAAGCCCCGGGCUCAACCUGGGAACUGCAUUUGAAACAGGUGAACUAGUGUGCGGGAGGGGGAAGUGGAAUUCCGGGUGUAGCGGUGAAAUGCGUAAAUAUCCGGAGGAACACCAGUGGCGAAGGCGACUUCCUGGACCAACACUGACGCUGAGGUACGAAAGCGUGGGUAGCAAACAGGAUUAGAUACCCCGGUAGUC